ACGAGGGUUUGAUCAUGGCUCAGUACAUGAACGCUAGCGGCAGGCUUAAUACAAUGCAAGUCGAGGGGCAGUAGGCGGAGUAGCAAUACUCACGCCGGGAGCACCUUGCGCACUAGUGCGUAACACGUAUCAGUGGAAUCUGCCUCUAACAGGGGAAUAGUAUCGGAGAAAUUCGGAUUAAUACCCCAUAACAAAUGAGUUGGCAUCAUUUUACUUGAAAGCUACGGCGGUUAGAGAUGAGUAUGCGUCUGAUUAGCUAGCAUGAGGUAACGGCUCACCAAGGCGCCGAUCAGUAGGGGAUCUGGAAGAGGAUGACCCCCCACACGGAUACUGAGACACGGAUCCGACUCCUACGGGAGGCAGCCUAAGGAAUAUAUUGGACAAUGCCCGCAAGGGUGAUCCAGCCAUGCCGCUAGCAGGAAGACGGCCCUAUGGGUUGUUUAACUGCUUUUGUACCGGAGAACACUUUCCUAUGCGUAUGAGAGCUGAUCGUACCUCGAAUAUCCAUUUAGCUAACUUCGUGUUACAGCAGUUACGGUAAGACGAAGGAUGCAAGCGUUAUCCGGAUUUAUUUGGGUUUAAAGGGAGCGUAGGCGGUCUAAUAAGUCAGUGGUGAAAUCUCUCGGCUUAACUGAGAAAUGGCCAUUGAUACUGUUGGACUUGAGUACAGAUGCCGUUGGCGGAAUAUGACAUGUAGUAGUGAAAUACAUAGAGAUGUCAUAGAACACCGAUUGCGAAGGCAGCUGACGAAACUGUAACUGACGCUGAGGCUCGAAAGUGUGGGGAUCAAACAGGAUUAGAUACCCUGGUAGUCCACACUGUAAACGAUGAUUACUCGCUGCUGAGGGGUGACUUUCAGUGGCUAAGCGAAAGCGAUAAGUAAUCCACCUGGGCAAGUACGCCGGCAACGGUGAUAACUCAAAGGAAUUGACGAAGCCCGCACAAGCGGAGAGUGAGCAUGUGGUUUAACAGGAUGAUACGCGAGGAACCUUACCAGGUAUUUGAAAGUUAGUGACCGGUGGUGAAAGCCACUUAUUUCAGCAAUGACACGAAACUAGGUGCUGCAUGGCUGUCGUCAGCUCGUGCCGUGAGGUGUUGGGUUAAGGCUACGCAACGAGCGCAACCCCUACCAUUAGUUGCCAACAGGUUAAGCUGGGGUAUUCUAAUGGAACUGCCCUGACCGUGCAAGCGGAGAGGAAGGUGGGGAUGACGUCAAGUCAUCACGGCCCUUACGUCCUGGGCUACACACGUGCUACAAUGGCCACUAACAGAGGGCAGCUACACAGCAAUGUGAUGCUAAUCUUUCAAGUGGUCUCAGUUCGCAAUUGGGGUCUGCAACUCGACCUCAUCAAGCUGGAUUCGCUAGUAAUCGCGAUUCAGCAUUGGCGCGGUGAAUACGUUCCCGGGUAUUGUACACACCACCGUCAAGCCAUGAAUACUGGAAAGUAUCUA
This 1452-nucleotide ribosomal RNA is filed under the name uncultured bacterium. RNAcentral describes it as "bacterial SSU rRNA". It matches the Rfam family "Bacterial small subunit ribosomal RNA". The record is from RNAcentral.